GACGGGGGAUGAAAGCGUGAUCCGGAAUCACUGGGCGUAAAGCGUAUGUAGGUGGUGAUGCAAGUCACUGGUGCAAAACUCUGGCUCAACCGGAGGAAAGCCAGUGAAACUGCAUGACUAGAGUGUGGGAGAGGUAGAAGGAAUUCCCUGAGUAGCGGUGAAAUGCGUAGAUACAGGGAAGAACACCGGAGGCGAAAGCGUUCUACUGGAACACAACUGACACUGAGAGACGAAAGCUAGGGUAGCGAAUGUG
RNAcentral lists this ribosomal RNA (253 nucleotides) under uncultured bacterium. Its description in RNAcentral is "partial 16S ribosomal RNA". It matches the Rfam family "Bacterial small subunit ribosomal RNA", at positions 524 to 776 of the family's 1533-position model. The record is from RNAcentral.